GAUGAAGAACGUAGCGAAAUGCGAUACGUAAUGUGAAUUGCACAAUUCAGUGAAUCAUCGAAUCUUUGAACGCACAUUGCGCCUGCCAGCACUCUGGCAGGCAUGCCUGUUCGAGCGUCAUUUCAACCAUCAAGCCCUAGGCUUGCGUUGGAGCCCUGCGGCUGCCGCAGGCCCCUAAAAGCAGUGGCGGGCUCGCUAUCACACCGAGUGCAGUAGAUUACUCUUCGCUCAGGGCGUGUGGCGGGUUCCAGCCGUGAAACCCCCUACUUCUCAAGGUUGACCUCGGAUCAGGUAGGAAUACCCGCUGAACUUAAGCAUAUCAAUAAGCGGAGGA
This 334-nucleotide unclassified non-coding RNA is filed under the name soil metagenome. RNAcentral describes it as "partial contains 5.8S ribosomal RNA, internal transcribed spacer 2, and large subunit ribosomal RNA". The stretch from base 1 to 120 matches the Rfam family "5.8S ribosomal RNA", at positions 35 to 154 of the family's 154-position model. The record is from RNAcentral.